AUUGAACGCUGGCGGCAGGCCUAACACAUGCAAGUCGAGCGGAUGAAGGGAGCUUGCUCCUGGAUUCAGCGGCGGACGGGUGAGUAAUGCCUAGGAAUCUGCCUGGUAGUGGGGGAUAACGUCCGGAAACGGGCGCUAAUACCGCAUACGUCCUGAGGGAGAAAGUGGGGGAUCUUCGGACCUCACGCUAUCAGAUGAGCCUAGGUCGGAUUAGCUAGUUGGUGGGGUAAAGGCCUACCAAGGCGACGAUCCGUAACUGGUCUGAGAGGAUGAUCAGUCACACUGGAACUGAGACACGGUCCAGACUCCUAAGGGAGGCAGCAGUGGGGAAUAUUGGACAAUGGGCGAAAGCCUGAUCCAACCAUGCCGCGUGUGUGAAGAAGGUCUUCGGAUUGUAAAGCACUUUAAGUUGGGAGGAAGGGCAGUAAGUUAAUACCUUGCUGUUUUGACGUUACCAACAGAAUAAGCACCGGCUAACUUCGUG
Molecule: ribosomal RNA, 484 nt
Filed under: uncultured bacterium
Lineage: Bacteria
Description: partial 16S ribosomal RNA
Rfam family: Bacterial small subunit ribosomal RNA
Source: RNAcentral